Molecule: ribosomal RNA, 611 nt
Filed under: uncultured bacterium
Lineage: Bacteria
Description: bacterial SSU rRNA
Rfam family: Bacterial small subunit ribosomal RNA (bases 1-519)
Source: RNAcentral
CCUACGGGAGGCAGCAGUGGGGAAUCUUGCGCAAUGGGCGAAAGCCUGACGCAGCAACGCCGCGUGCGGGAUGAAGGCCUUCGGGUUGUAAACCGCUUUCAGCAGGGAAGAAAUUGACGGUACCUGCAGAAGAAGCCCCGGCCAACUACGUGCCAGCAGCCGCGGUAACACGUAGGGGGCGAGCGUUGUCCGGAUUUAUUGGGCGUAAAGAGCUCGUAGGCGGUUCGGUAAGUCGGGUGUGAAACCUCCAGGCUCAACCUGGAGACGCCACCUGAUACUGCUGUGACUAGAGUCCGGUAGGGGAGUGUGGAACUCCUGGUGUAGCGGUGAAAUGCGCAGAUAUCAGGAAGAACACCAGCGGCGAAGGCGGCACUCUGGGCCGGUACUGACGCUGAGGAGCGAAAGCGUGGGUAGCAAACAGGAUUAGAUACCCUGGUAGUCCACGCCGUAAACGUUGGGCACUAGGUGUGGGUCUCAACCAACGAGAUCCGUGCCGCAGCUACGCAUAAGUAGCCCGCCGUCGGGUAGGUACGGCCGGCGACGGACGUAAACCGUACAAACUAGAAUUAGACGGCGUGAGACGUGCCGACGGACGACGACGAGGGAGUAGG